Molecule: ribosomal RNA, 497 nt
Filed under: uncultured bacterium
Lineage: Bacteria
Description: partial 16S ribosomal RNA
Rfam family: Bacterial small subunit ribosomal RNA
Source: RNAcentral
GAUGAACGCUGGCGGCGUGCCUAAUACAUGCAAGUCGAGCGAACAGACGAGGAGCUUGCUCCUCUGACGUUAGCGGCGGACGGGUGAGUAACACGUGGAUAACCUACCUAUAAGACUGGGAUAACUUCGGGAAACCGGAGCUAAUACCGGAUAAUCUAUUGAACCGCAUGGUUCAAUAGUGAAAGACGGUUUUGCUGUCACUUAUAGAUGGAUCCGCGCCGCAUUAGCUAGUUGGUAAGGUAACGGCUUACCAAGGCAACGAUGCGUAGCCGACCUGAGAGGGUGAUCGGCCACACGGGAACUGAGACACGGUCCAGACUCCUACGGGAGGCAGCAGUAGGGAAUCGUACGCAAUGGGCGAAAGCCUGACGGAGCAACGCCGCGUGAGUGAUGAAGGUCUUCGGAUCGUAAAACUCUGUUAUUAGAGAAGAACAAAUGUGUAAGUAACUAUGCACGUCUUGACGGUACCUAAUCAGAAAGCCACGGCUAACUACGUG